This 252-nucleotide ribosomal RNA is filed under the name uncultured bacterium. RNAcentral's name for it is "partial 16S ribosomal RNA". It matches the Rfam family "Bacterial small subunit ribosomal RNA", at positions 524 to 776 of the family's 1533-position model. The record is from RNAcentral.
UACGUAGGUCCCGAGCGUUGUCCGGAUUUAUUGGGUUUAAAGGGUGCGUAGGCGGACGCUUAAGUCAGCGGUAAAAUUGCGGGGCUCAACCUCGUCGAGCCGUUGAAACUGGGUGCCUUGAGUGGGCGAGAAGUACGCGGAAUGCGUGGUGUAGCGGUGAAAUGCAUAGAUAUCACGCAGAACUCCGAUUGCGAAGGCAGCGUACCGGCGCCCAACUGACGCUGAAGCACGAAGGCGUGGGUAUCGAACAGG